UACGGAGGGUGCAAGCGUUAUCCGGAUUCACUGGGUUUAAAGGGAGCGUAGGAGGGCAGGUAAGUCAGUGGUGAAAUCUCUCGGCUCAACCGAGAAACGUCGGCUGAUACUGCCGUUCUUGAGGGAUGCAGAGGAGACUGGAAUUCCCGGUGUAGCGGUGAAAUGUGUAGAGAUCGGGAGGAACACCGGUGGCGAAGGCGGGUCUCUGGGCAUUUCCUGACGCUGAGGCGCGAAAGCGUGGGGAGCAAACGGG
Molecule: ribosomal RNA, 253 nt
Filed under: uncultured prokaryote
Description: partial 16S ribosomal RNA
Rfam family: Bacterial small subunit ribosomal RNA
Source: RNAcentral